Molecule: unclassified non-coding RNA, 3265 nt
Filed under: Rhopalosiphum maidis (corn leaf aphid)
Lineage: Eukaryota; Metazoa; Arthropoda; Insecta; Hemiptera; Aphididae
Description: gATOR complex protein WDR24, transcript variant X4
Source: RNAcentral
CGUUUCGCGGUUCCUAAGCGGCAAACACGUCCUUCCGCGUCUUUUACAGUUUUUCAAACUCGAUAUAUUCGUUUUCGUGUUGUUGUUGUUGAAUCUAAUUAUUAUUAAUUAAAUUUGUCCAGCAUAGCACACACGUCCACGCCAUCCGACAAAUGCGUUUUCCAGAGUCUGGAGACGACGUACGAUGACAACAGUAGCCCCCGGCGCGGCUACCGAUACCGCUGCCGUACCAAUCGUCACCACUGCAGCCUCCAACGGCAAGGGACACAUCUUGCACGACGGUCCAGCGUAUUCGUUGGCGCUCAAUAAAGAGCACACGCACGUGGUGGUUGCCGGUAGAAAUGUUUUUAAGGUAUUUCUCAUCGAACAGGGAGGCUUCAAAGAAUGUGUCAACUUGCGUUGUGGCAAAACAUCAAGUGUGCAGAGUUCGUCGAGCAUGGAUGUAGCUUGGAACCCGGCAGAUGACAAUGUUUUGGCGACAGCUACAACAGGUGGUGCGGUAGUCACGUGGAACUUGAAUAGAUCAUCCAGGAACAAACAAGACCAUAUUUUUUAUGACCAUCGAAGAACUGUAAACAAAGUUACAUUUCAUUGUGUUGAACCCAACCUGCUGAUGUCAGGUUCUCAAGAUGGGACAAUAAAAUGUUUUGAUUUGAGACUAAAAGAAGCUCCUAAAACUUAUUCCAGUGAUUCAGAAAGUAUUAGAGAUGUUCAAUUUAGUCCUCACAACAAUUAUGUAUUUGCUGCAGCUUCGGAAAAUGGUAGCAUUCAAAUAUGGGAUACCAGAAAAGCCGAAAAAUGUCUAAAUAAGUUUUCUGCACAUAAUGGACCAGUAUUUUCUUGUGAUUGGCAUUCGGAGCUUCAAUUUCUAGCAACUGCCAGUCGUGACAAGACUAUCAAAGUUUGGAACGUUACAAAUAAACCUAUUGCUGAGUACACGAUUAGCACUAUUGCCCCAGUCGGACGAGUUAAGUGGCGGCCAUAUCGUAGGUAUCAUUUGGCAUCUAGUGCUUUAGUUCUAGACUCUGCCAUUAAUGUUUGGGACGUACGCAGGCCUUAUAUUCCUUAUGCAUCAUUUGCUAAACAUACGGAUGUAGCUACUUGUAUUGCUUGGAAAGGAGAUCCUUUUGUACUUUUAUCCACAAAUCGAGAUAGUACUUUGCAUCAAAAUUUUAUAAGUGAAGCAGACUUGCCUUUAGAAAGUGCUAACCAACAAGGUAUGGCUAUUAAUAGAGAUGGUGAUCUUGUAUUUUGUUGCCCAGUUAAUUUAAACAAAGUAGAAAUUCAAAAGUCUAAAGAAAGUUCUAGAAAGACUUCAACUACAACUAGUGGCGAAGAAGAAUUAAACACAUCAAGUGAGAUGAAUGUAUUUCGUGAUCCAAAAAUUGUUAUGUGUUUAUCUGAUGAAGCAGAGUGUAUCCAAACAUGUGCUAUCCAAUAUAAACUUAUAGGAAGAUCAAUAGGAGAACUCUGUGAACACAAUGCUGGUGUUGCUUCCAGUGUUGGAAGAACAACUGUUUUUUUGCUGUGGAAUGUCCUAAGAAUACUGUAUGAUCACCGUGUAUCUCUUAUUGCUCUAAAAGAAGAUAUUAUGAGCAGCUCAAACAUUGAUAGCAGCUUUGAUGGGGAGAACCAGAUUGGUUCCCUCAGCGAUGAAGAUGGUUUCAGAGGAGAUAGACCUUACCAGUUGGGAGAUUUCUAUUUUGGCAAUGCUGAAAUUGAUCCUUUAGAUGCUGAACAUGAUCAAUUUGACUUCAUAGGUUUACAGAUGGAUAGCAAAACUGUGGAAGAGGACAAUGAUUGGGAAGUACCUGUAGAAUCAAUAACUUUAAGACAUGAAAUUAUACAUGAACCAAUUGUUAACGAUCCUUAUAUACAUAACUCAGCACCUUUAGCAAACAAAUUAAAUAACCGCAUAACCUCUGCACCACUAUUGCGAAUAACUUCUCCAGCUAAAUUUGACAUGUGGAAUCCUUCAGAAAUUGUUGUUAAAGCUCUUCGUCAUCAUGUUGAUGAAGGUGAUGUACAAACAGCGGUUUGUGCAUUAAUUGUUUUAAGUGAUGAAAUCAGAAGUGAACUAACUAAUCCUAGACAUUCUUGGCGUCUUUUACAUGGCGAAAUAGAAUCAUGGUGGUUAAAUUAUCUUGAAUUACUUAAAAAAUUCAAAUUGUGGUCAUGUGCUACAACGGUAAUCCAACUCUCACGCAUUCGUAGCAUAUUACAACUGCAUCGAACUUCCACUUCAGUUUAUUUGACGUGUGGAUGGUGUUAUAAAGGUUUGACACGAAAUAAUCGACGCUGCUAUAAUUGUCAACAUUCUGAAUGUGCUAGGUGCGCAUUAUGCCAAAGGAUUGUACGUGGAAUGUAUGCAUGGUGUAGAGGAUGUGCACAUGGUGGCCACAUAGGACACAUGAAGCAAUGGUUUAUGGAAAACAAAUACUGUCCAACUGGAUGUGGACACAAGUGUGAAUAUUGAUCUCAAUACAAUGUAUUGAAUCUGCUCAUAUACAAUCUAAAAAAAACAUACCUAAAUUCCAUUGUUGAUUGGAAACUAUCAUCUUCUGUAAUGGAAAACACGCACAAAAAUCCUUCACCACUUCGAAAAUAAUUGUCACGAAUGGCAGCAUAAUCUUCUUGGCCAGCAGUGUCCAAUAUAUCAAUUUGGACUUCUUCACCAUCCAAGACUACUUUUUUACGGUGCAAAAUCAAAGUAUAAAAGGGCAUACGGUGCUGUAGUCCGUGCCUGCAUCUGCAGUGACAACCUCAGAGACGCACUACUAGUCAGCUGUGGCCUCGGAGUGAUGAUACGACCAUCAUACCAAUGAUAGAUAUUCAUAUAUUAUAUAAAUAUAUGCCUUCGUGGAAGUACAGUGGGUAGGUCUGAUUUUUAGACAAGAAAACCAUUUUUCUCUAUUUGACGCGGCCAAAUCUAAAGAUACAAAAAUUUGUUUUCUUUAUUUAACUUAUAAUUAAUUUAAAUUACAUUUUUAAUAUUGAAUUGAAUUAUUAAUUUUGGUUUAAAUAUUACUGUUAAAGUUGAAAGUUUACACUGUAAACAAUUUUGUUUAUUGCAAUCCGUUUUGAUUUCUUGAAACUCUAUUACUACCAGGGUCAUAACUUUGAAUUAACUCUGCGUAUACUUUUUAUGAUAUCACAUAACAUUAAAAUAUAAUUAAGUAUACCUACUUAUAUUGUAGUACACGGAAUAAUUAAUUUAACCUACACGCUAAUUUCUUCGCUCAAUUUUUGUGAUUUGUGAAGUAUG